UGGGCAUGCGGCGCAUUAGGUAGUUGGUAGGGUAACGGCCUACCAAGCCGACGAUGCGUAGGGGUUCUGAGAGGAAGGUCCCCCACAUUGGAACUGAGACACGGUCCAAACUCCUACGGGAGGCAGCAGUGAGGAAUAUUGGUCAAUGGCCGGAAGGCUGAACCAGCCAAGUCGCGUGAGGGAAUAAGGCCCUAUGGGUCGUAAACCUCUUUUGUCAGGGAGCAAAGGCGUCCACGUGUGGACGAGAGGAGAGUACCUGAAGAAAAAGCAUCGGCUAACUCCGUGCCAGCAGCCGCGGUAAUACGGAGGAUGCGAGCGUUAUCCGGAUUUAUUGGGUUUAAAGGGUGCGUAGGCGGAGUGUCAAGUCAGCGGUAAAAUUUCGGGGCUCAACCCCGUCGUGCCGUUGAAACUGACACCCUUGAGUGAGUGAGAAGUAAGCGGAAUGCGUGGUGUAGCGGUGAAAUGCAUAGAUAUCACGCAGAACGCCGAUUGCGAAGGCAGCUUACCGGCGCUCAACUGACGCUGAGGCACGAAAGUGCGGGUAUCGAACAGGAUUAGAUACCCUGGUAGUCCGCACAGUAAACGAUGAAAGCUAGAUGUCCGGGGCGAAUGAGCUUUGG
RNAcentral lists this ribosomal RNA (620 nucleotides) under uncultured bacterium. Its description in RNAcentral is "bacterial SSU rRNA". It matches the Rfam family "Bacterial small subunit ribosomal RNA", at positions 226 to 842 of the family's 1533-position model. The record is from RNAcentral.